Molecule: microRNA precursor, 98 nt
Organism: Cercocebus atys (sooty mangabey)
Lineage: Eukaryota; Metazoa; Chordata; Mammalia; Primates; Cercopithecidae
Source: Ensembl
AGGUGGGAGGAUUGCUUGAGCCUGGGAGGUGGAGGUUGCAGUGAGCCGAGAUCAUGCCAUUGCACUCCAGCCUGUGCCACAGAGUGAAAACUUGUCUC